AUGGCGUCCCGUACCCGUAGGGGCGCCGGCCCCCUACCGCGCCUCUGUCUCCUCCUCCUGCUCGUGCUGGCCACGGGGCUGCCGCGGGGCGGGGCGUUGGGGCUGAAGCUGCCGUUCAGCCCCGGGGACGUCCUCCCGAUCCUGCCGCGGCAGGUGGCGUGGCCCGUGAUGAACACCCUCCACAGCGCCGUCGACCUCCUGCCCUCCUUCGUCGCCGCCGUGGCCCCGGCCGCACCCUCCCCCGCCGUCUGGAACGGCUCCUGCUUCGCCGUGAACGAGGCGGCCCUUGAGCUCACCCCCGGCGACCGCAACGGGACCGAGAUCGGCGGCGCCGUGCUCCGCCUCAAGACUGCUUCUGCUCAAAGCUGGACGUGCAUGGAUCUUUAUGUGUUUGCAACACCAUAUAGGAUAACAUGGGAUUACUAUUUUGCGGCUCGAGAACACACUUUGGAGAUAACGUCAUGGGAGGAAGAAGCAGAGCUGGAAUAUGUUAAGCAGCAUGGUGUGUCUGUUUUUCUCAUGCCAUCUGGGAUGCUUGGAACUUUGUUAUCUUUGAUUGAUGUCCUGCCCUUGUUUUCGAAUACUGGAUGGGGUCAAAAUUCCAACUUGGCCUUUUUAGAGAAGCACAUGGGAGCUACAUUUGAGAAACGUUCUCAACCUUGGUUUGCUAAUAUUAUGAAGGAGGACAUACAAUCUGGUGACUUUUUGGCUCUAUCAAAGAUUCGAGGACGAUGGGGUGGGUUUGAGACAUUAGAGAAAUGGGUAACUGGUGCAUUUGCUGGGCAUACUGCUGUGUGCUUGAAAGAUGAGAACGGUGAUGUUUGGGUUGCAGAAUCAGGCUUUGAGAAUGAAAAGGGAGAGGAAAUUAUUGCUAUAGUUCCUUGGGAUGAAUGGUGGGAAAUGGCACUGAAGGAUGGAUCAAAUCCUCAGAUAGCCCUUUUGCCAUUACACCCUGAUAUACGCUCUAGAUUCAAUGAAAGUGCCGCAUGGGACUUUGCACGGAGCAUGGUCGGAAAGCCGUAUGGCUAUCAUAAUAUGAUAUUUAGCUGGAUUGAUACAAUAGGAGAUAAUUAUCCUCCUCCUCUUGAUGCUAAUCUGGUAAUGGCUGUUAUGUCAAUGUGGACUAGAUUGCAACCACUUUAUGCUGCGAACAUGUGGAAUGAAGCCCUUAACAAAAGACUUGGGACUGAGGGUUUGGACCUUCAGGGUAUCAUUCUUGAGACUGAAAAGCGUGGCAUGUCUUUCGAUCAGUUGCUCACCAUCCCUGAACAAGAUGAAUGGGUAUACAGUGAUGGUAAAUCAACUACUUGUGUUUCCUUCAUUCUUGCGAUGUACAAGGAAGCUGGAGUAUUUGCUCCUUUCACAGAAUCAAUUCAAGUCACCGAGUUCACUAUACGGGAUGCAUAUAUGCUCAAGAUAUUUGAAGACGACCGGACCAGGCUCCCAAGCUGGUGUCGUACUGAGGCAGACAAGCCUCCCUUCUGCCAGAUACUUGGGGAGUACAGGAUGGAGCUACCAGAGUACAACACGAUAGAGCCGUACGCAAAAAUGAACGAGAACUGCCCAUCCUUACCCCCGACGUACAAGCGACCAUCGCGCUGCUGA
This 1605-nucleotide ribosomal RNA is filed under the name Triticum aestivum (bread wheat). RNAcentral's name for it is "partial small subunit ribosomal RNA". Lineage: Eukaryota; Viridiplantae; Streptophyta; Magnoliopsida; Poales; Poaceae. The record is from RNAcentral.